RNAcentral lists this ribosomal RNA (253 nucleotides) under uncultured bacterium. RNAcentral describes it as "partial 16S ribosomal RNA". It matches the Rfam family "Bacterial small subunit ribosomal RNA", at positions 524 to 776 of the family's 1533-position model. The record is from RNAcentral.
UACGGAGGGUGCAAGCGUUGUCCGGAUUCAUUGGGUUUAAAGGGUGCGUAGGCGGUCUUGUAAGUCAGUGGUGAAAUCUCAGAGCUCAACUCUGAAUGUGCCAAUGAUACUGCAGGACUUGAGAGCAGUCGAGGUAGCUGGAAUGUGUAGUGUAGCGGUGAAAUGCAUAGAGAUUACACAGAACACCAAUUGCGAAGGCAAGUUACUAGACUGUUUCAGACGCUGAUGCACGAAAGUGUGGGUAGCGAACAGG